UUGUCACAGGUUCUUCUUUUACGGUUUCUGUAGCUUCAACUUCAGUAGCCACAGAUUCUUCUUUUACUGUUUCUGUAGCUUCAACUUCAGUAGCCACUGGUUCUUCUUUUACUGUUUCUGUAGCUUCAACUUCAGUAGCCACUGGUUCUUCUUUUACUGUUUCUGUAGCUUCAACUUCAGUAGCUGCAGGUUCGUCUUUUACCGUUUCUGUAGCCUCAACUUCAGUUGCCACAGGUUCUUCUUUUACCGUUUCUGUAGGCUCAACUUCAGUAGCCACGGGUUCUUCUUUUACUGUUUCUGUAGCUUCAGCUUCAGUAGCUAGAGGUUCUUCUUUUACCGUUUCUGUAGGAUCAACUUCAGUAACCACAGGUUCGUCUUUUACGGUUUCUGUAACCUUAACUUCAGUAGCUGCAGGUUCUUCUUUUACUGUUUCCGUAGCCUCAACUUCAGUAGCCACAAGUUCUUCUUUUAGUGUUUCUGUAGCCUCAACUUCAGUAACCACGGGUUCUUCUUUUACUAUCUCUGCA
Molecule: long non-coding RNA, 527 nt
Filed under: Medicago truncatula (barrel medic)
Lineage: Eukaryota; Viridiplantae; Streptophyta; Magnoliopsida; Fabales; Fabaceae
Description: long non-coding RNA (MTRU_LNC006373)
Source: RNAcentral